RNAcentral lists this ribosomal RNA (670 nucleotides) under New Jersey aster yellows phytoplasma. RNAcentral describes it as "bacterial LSU rRNA". It matches the Rfam family "Bacterial large subunit ribosomal RNA", at positions 1 to 693 of the family's 2925-position model. The record is from RNAcentral. Lineage: Bacteria; Bacillati; Mycoplasmatota; Mollicutes; Acholeplasmatales; Acholeplasmataceae.
GGUUAAAAAAUCAAAGGAACUAAGGGCGCACAGUGGAUGCCUUGGCACUAAGAGCCGAUGAAGGACGCAAUUAACGGCGAAACGCCACGGGAAGCUGUAAAUAAGUGAAGAUCCGUGGGUCUCCGAAUGGGAAAACCCAUUACAUUGAAGAUGUAAUAUUCUUCUAAUACGAUUUAUCUUAUUAGAAGAAAGGAAACGCGGCGAACUGAAAUAUCUAAGUAACCGCAGGAAAAGAAAGUAAUAACGAUUCUGGUAGUAGUGACGAGCGAACCCGGAACAGCCUGAUAUCAUUUGUAGUUAUAAAAUUUUAACGAAGUAGAAGCUUUUGGAAAGAAGCACCAAAGAAGGUGACAGUCCCGUAAACGUAAGUUAAAAUCUAGGGUAUCAAUAAGUACGGCGAGACACGAGAAAUCUUGUCGGAAGAUGGGAGGACCAUCUCCUAAGGCUAAAUACUUCUUAGUGACCGAUAGUGAACUAGUACCGUGAGGGAAAGGUGAAAAGAACCCCGAAAGGGGAGUGAAAUAGAUCCUGAAACUGUGUGCCUACAAUUAGUCAAAGCACGUUAAUGUGUGAUGGCUUGCCUUUUGCAGAAUGAACCGGCGAGUUAUGAUAUGGAGCAAGGUUAAGUUUUAAGGAACGGAGCCGUAGCGAAAGCGAGUCUUAAUAGGGC